RNAcentral lists this ribosomal RNA (437 nucleotides) under uncultured Clostridium sp. RNAcentral describes it as "partial 16S ribosomal RNA". It matches the Rfam family "Bacterial small subunit ribosomal RNA", at positions 341 to 792 of the family's 1533-position model. The record is from RNAcentral. Lineage: Bacteria; Bacillati; Bacillota; Clostridia; Eubacteriales; Clostridiaceae.
ACGGAAGGCAGCAGUGGGGAAUAUUGGGCAAUGGGCGAAAGCCUGACCCAGCAACGCCGCGUGAAGGAAGAAGGCCUUCGGGUUGUAAACUUCUUUUAUCAGGGACGAAGAACGUGACGGUACCUGAUGAAUAAGCCACGGCUAACUACGUGCCAGCAGCCGCGGUAAUACGUAGGUGGCAAGCGUUAUCCGGAUUUACUGGGUGUAAAGGGUGCGUAGGCGGGGAUGCAAGUCAGGUGUGAAAUCUAUGGGCUUAACCCAUAAACUGCAUUUGAAACUGUAUCUCUUGAGUGUCGGAGAGGUAGAUGGAAUUCCUAGUGUAGCGGUGAAAUGCGUAGAUAUUAGGAGGAACACCAGUGGCGAAGGCGGCUUACUGGACUGUAACUGACGUUGAGGCUCGAAAGCGUGGGGAGCAAACAGGAUUAGAUACCCUGGUA